Molecule: transfer RNA, 73 nt
Filed under: Candidatus Levyibacteriota bacterium
Lineage: Bacteria; Candidatus Levyibacteriota
Description: tRNA-Cys
Rfam family: tRNA
About the family: Transfer RNA (tRNA) molecules are approximately 80 nucleotides in length. Their secondary structure includes four short double-helical elements and three loops (D, anti-codon, and T loops).
Source: RNAcentral
GGCGCGGUGGUGAAGUAGCUAACACAGAUGUCUGCAGAACAUCCAUUCGGGGGUGCAAGUCCCCCUCGCGCCU